This 643-nucleotide ribosomal RNA is filed under the name Stenopus hispidus (banded coral shrimp). RNAcentral describes it as "SSU rRNA". It matches the Rfam family "Eukaryotic small subunit ribosomal RNA", at positions 1176 to 1804 of the family's 1831-position model. The record is from RNAcentral. Lineage: Eukaryota; Metazoa; Arthropoda; Malacostraca; Decapoda; Stenopodidae.
GUGGAGCCUGCGGCUUAAUUUGACUCAACACGGGAAACCUCACCAGGCCCGGACACCGGAAGGAUUGACAGAUUGAGAGCUCUUUCUCGAUUCGGUGGGUGGUGGUGCAUGGCCGUUCUUAGUUGGUGGAGCGAUUUGUCUGGUUAAUUCCGAUAACGAACGAGACUCGGACCUACUAACUAGUCGACGGAUCUUCCGUCCGACGGUGUCCAGUUCGUAAAGUCUUCUUAGAGGGAUAAGCGGCAAGUGUAGCCGCAGGAGAUCGAGCAAUAACAGGUCUGUGAUGCCCUUAGAUGUUCUGGGCCGCACGCGCGCUACACUGAAGUGUUCAACGUGUUGUCCCUGUCCGAGAGGAUCGGGUAACCCGCUGAAAGCAUUUCUUGAUAGGGAUGGGGGCUUGCAAUUGUUCCCCCUGAACGAGGAAUUCCCAGUAAGCGCAAGUCAAUAGCUUGCGUUGAUUACGUCCCUGCCCUUUGUACACACCGCCCGUCGCUACUACCGAUUGAAUGAUUUAGUGAGGCCUUCGGACUGGCGCCCUGGGUCUGAUGCAGUUGGCCUUAGUGCCUUGUGUAUCGCCUAGGGUCGACGGAAAGAUGUCCAAACUUGAUCAUUUAGAGGAAGUAAAAGUCGUAACAAGGUUUCC